GUAGUUGUGGCUGAGUGGUUAAAGCAGUGGACUGGAAGUCUAUGAGGGUCAUCCCAUGCAGGUUCAAACCCUGCCAACUACA
This is a non-coding RNA of Chelonoidis abingdonii (Abingdon island giant tortoise), 82 nucleotides long. The record is from the annotation of a RefSeq genome assembly. NCBI's taxonomy places the organism in Eukaryota, Metazoa, Chordata, Testudines, Testudinidae.